CGGCUGCUCUCCAACUCUCCGUGCGCUGCCCUCGGGUUGCAACCCCCUCUCCAGACUGGAUGUCGCGGAGCCAGGACGACAGCCCAAGGGCGCUUCCCACAUCUGUUGCUGCGACUGUGGGGGAAGAUGGUAGAGAGGCAGAGAAAGGGACAGUGUCUAUGACAGCCCUGGAGACAGAGUUGCUGACCAGAAUCGGAAAGGAGGGUGCAGGCGGUGAACAUGCAGAGCCCCGUUCCUCGGUUUUUCCGUAGACACUGAGCACUCUGGGGGCUCUUGGCCCCCCAGCCCUCACUCCGGCCAAGGCGGUCUCUGGAGGCAGCCCUGAUGGGACCAGCGCAUCUCAUCAACCCAGAAUUCAGAACCCUGAACUUCACUUCACUUGCCUGUGUCUGUAAUCCCUACAGACACCUCCGGGGAAGAAGAACUUCCCUCGACCGCGGGGACUCGCCCAACCUGGGAACCUCUGGGGCCCGAGAGCCAAGAAAGACCCCCUUCCUUGCUCUUUUCCCGGGGAUGCAGAAGUCAGCGGACGUCCCAGGAAUCUGCAGCCUCUUCACCCCCGCACAACACAGGCACAGUCCUCGCUUUGCACCCCGCUGUGUUUCCCACGCCGAGGGCACAGUUGGCACCUUCUGGAUACUCGUACCCAGGCUUGGACCGGAGAAGAGAAUGGCAACCCACUCCAGUACCCUUGCCUGGAAAAAUCCCAAGGAUGGAGGAGCCUG
Long non-coding RNA from Bos taurus (domestic cattle), 725 nucleotides. The record is from Ensembl. Lineage: Eukaryota; Metazoa; Chordata; Mammalia; Artiodactyla; Bovidae.